UUACAAUAGCUGAGACCUGAAACUAAAGUUGGAAUGGUACAAAGAAGAUUAGCAUGGCCCCUGCUUAAGUACGACACACAAAGUCAUGAAGUGUUCCACUGAAAA
Molecule: small nuclear RNA, 105 nt
Organism: Hemiscyllium ocellatum (epaulette shark)
Lineage: Eukaryota; Metazoa; Chordata; Chondrichthyes; Orectolobiformes; Hemiscylliidae
Source: RefSeq, a predicted model, not a curated record